This 369-nucleotide ribosomal RNA is filed under the name Callismilax sulcipennis. Its description in RNAcentral is "partial 12S ribosomal RNA". Lineage: Eukaryota; Metazoa; Arthropoda; Insecta; Coleoptera; Tenebrionidae. The record is from RNAcentral.
GAUACCCUAUUAUUGGGAAUGUGAUUUUUGAACUAUAAUUAUUUUGAGUUAUGAUCUUUAAAGUUAAAAAAUUUGGCGGUAUUUUAGUCUGUUCAGAGGAACCUGUUUUUUAAUUGAUAAUCCACGAUUAUUAGUACUUUUUCUUUAAAUUUGUAUAUCGUCGUUAAUAAAAAUUUUGGGAGGAUAAUAAUUUUUGGGAUUUUUAAUUAAAUAAUAAUUCAGAUCAAGGUGCAGUUUAUGGGAGAGUUAAAAUGGGUUACAUUAUGGUUAGAUGUGGUUUUUAAUUUUAAAAGUUAAAAUAAAGUGGAUUUGAUAGUAAAUUAUUUGUUUUUGAUUUUUGAUUUAGCUCUAAAAUAUGUACACAUCGCC